GAUGAACGCUGGCGGCGUGCCCAAUACAUGCAAGUCGAGCGAACAGACGAGGAGCUUGCUCCUCUGACGUUAGCGGCGGAAGGGUGAGUAACACGUGGAUAACCUACCUAUAAGACUGGGAUAACUUCGGGAAACCGGAGCUAAUACCGGAUAAUAUAUUGAACCGCAUGGUUCAAUAGUGAAAGACGGUUUUGCUGUCACUUAUAGAUGGAUCCGCGCCGCAUUAGCUAGUUGGUAAGGUAACGGCUUACCAAGGCAACGAUGCGUAGCCGACCUGAGAGAGUGAUCGGCCACACUGGAACUGAGACACGGUCCAGACUCCUACGGGAGGCAGCAGUAGGGAAGCUUCCGCAAUGGGCGAAAGCCUGACGGAGCAACGCCGCGUGAGUGAUGAAGGUCUUCGGAUCGUAAAACUCUGUUAUUAGGGAAGAACAAAUGUGUAAGUAACUAUGCACGUCUUGACGGUACCUAAUCAGAAAGCCACGGCUAACUACGUG
Molecule: ribosomal RNA, 497 nt
Filed under: uncultured bacterium
Lineage: Bacteria
Description: partial 16S ribosomal RNA
Rfam family: Bacterial small subunit ribosomal RNA
Source: RNAcentral